Molecule: long non-coding RNA, 335 nt
Filed under: Elaeis guineensis (African oil palm)
Lineage: Eukaryota; Viridiplantae; Streptophyta; Magnoliopsida; Arecales; Arecaceae
Description: long non-coding RNA (EGUI_LNC064354)
Source: RNAcentral
UGGGCUUAAUAUGGAUCGAAUCUCAAGGUAUCAAAUUCUAACAUAAUUUUUUUUAAACCUCAUAAUUUAUCAAUCAUUGCUUGAACAUCUUGAACAUCCAUAGAUUGAGAUGAUGAAGUAUCAGAUUUUCUUAACUGUAUAUAAUUGUUGUAGAGAUUAUCUGUCAUAUGAUCUGAUAUCUUCUCAUCGGAUUAUAACCAAGCACUCACUGACAAACCAGUAUUGGAUACCAAAAGAGGACCCAAAGAACCAAGGGAAAGCAGCUUUACGUCAUCGGCUUCUAUUCGACCUCCUAAUUGGAUACUCAUCAUAUUGAAAAUUAUAUUUCAAAGUCA